Molecule: transfer RNA, 76 nt
Filed under: Kaustia mangrovi
Lineage: Bacteria; Pseudomonadati; Pseudomonadota; Alphaproteobacteria; Hyphomicrobiales; Parvibaculaceae
Description: Alphaproteobacteria bacterium R1DC25 tRNA-Glu
Rfam family: tRNA
About the family: Transfer RNA (tRNA) molecules are approximately 80 nucleotides in length. Their secondary structure includes four short double-helical elements and three loops (D, anti-codon, and T loops). Further hydrogen bonds mediate the characteristic L-shaped molecular structure. tRNAs have two regions of fundamental functional importance: the anti-codon, which is responsible for specific mRNA codon recognition, and the 3' end, to which the tRNAs corresponding amino acid is attached (by aminoacyl-tRNA synthetases). tRNAs cope with the degeneracy of the genetic code in two manners: having more than one tRNA (with a specific anti-codon) for a particular amino acid; and 'wobble' base-pairing, i.e. permitting non-standard base-pairing at the 3rd anti-codon position.
Source: RNAcentral
GCCCCGUUCGUCUAGCGGUCUAGGACGCCGCCCUCUCACGGCGGAAACAGGGGUUCGAGUCCCCUACGGGGCGCCA